Molecule: ribosomal RNA, 836 nt
Filed under: Querciphoma carteri
Lineage: Eukaryota; Fungi; Ascomycota; Dothideomycetes; Pleosporales; Leptosphaeriaceae
Description: eukaryotic LSU rRNA
Rfam family: Eukaryotic large subunit ribosomal RNA
Source: RNAcentral
GGGAUUGCCCUAGUAACGGCGAGUGAAGCGGCAACAGCUCAAAUUUGAAAUCUGGCUCUUUCAGAGUCCGAGUUGUAAUUUGCAGAGGGCGCUUUGGCGUUGGCAGCGGUCCAAGUUCCUUGGAACAGGACGUCACAGAGGGUGAGAAUCCCGUACGUGGUCGCUAACCUUCGCCGUGUAAAGCCCCUUCGACGAGUCGAGUUGUUUGGGAAUGCAGCUCUAAAUGGGAGGUAAAUUUCUUCUAAAGCUAAAUACUGGCCAGAGACCGAUAGCGCACAAGUAGAGUGAUCGAAAGAUGAAAAGCACUUUGGAAAGAGAGUCAAAUAGCACGUGAAAUUGUUGAAAGGGAAGCGCUUGCAGCCAGACUUGCCUGUAGUUGCUCAUCCGGGCUUUUGCCCGGUGCACUCUUCUAUAGGCAGGCCAGCAUCAGUUUGGGCGGUUGGAUAAAGGUCUCUGUCAUGUACCUCCUUUCGGGGAGGCCUUAUAGGGGAGACGACAUGCAACCAGCCUGGACUGAGGUCCGCGCAUUUGCUAGGAUGCUGGCGUAAUGGCUGUAAGCGGCCCGUCUUGAAACACGGACCAAGGAGUCUAACAUCCAUGCGAGUGUUUGGGUGUCAAGCCCGAGCGCGCAAUGAAAGUGAACGGAGGUGGGAACCCUUAAGGGUGCACCAUCGACCGAUCCUGAUGUCUUCGGAUGGAUUUGAGUAAGAGCAUGGCUGUUGGGACCCGAAAGAUGGUGAACUAUGCUUGAAUAGGGUGAAGCCAGAGGAAACUCUGGUGGAGGCUCGCAGCGGUUCUGACGUGCAAAUCGAUCGUCAAAUUUGGGCAUAGGGGCG